This 515-nucleotide ribosomal RNA is filed under the name uncultured bacterium. RNAcentral describes it as "partial 16S ribosomal RNA". It matches the Rfam family "Bacterial small subunit ribosomal RNA", at positions 28 to 523 of the family's 1533-position model. The record is from RNAcentral.
GAUGAACGCUGGCGGCGUGCCUAAUACAUGCAAGUCGAGCGAAUGGAUUAAGAGCUUGCUCUUAUGAAGUUAGCGGCGGACGGGUGGGUAACACGUGGGUAACCUGCCCAUAAGACUGGGAUAACUCCGGGAAACCGGGGCUAAUACCGGAUAACAUUUUGAACCGCAUGGUUCGAAAUUGAAAGGCGGCUUCGGCUGUCACUUAUGGAUGGACCCGCGUCGCAUUAGCUAGUUGGUGAGGUAACGGCUCACCAAGGCAACGAUGCGUAGCCGACCUGAGAGGGUGAUCGGCCACACUGGGACUGAGACACGGCCCAGACUCCUACGGGAGGCAGCAGUAGGGAAUCUUCCGCAAUGGACGAAAGUCUGACGGAGCAACGCCGCGUGAGUGAUGAAGGCUUUCGGGUCGUAAAACUCUGUUGUUAGGGAAGAACAAGUGCUAGUUGAAUAAGCUGGCACCUUGACGGUACCUAACCAGAAAGCCACGGCUAACUACGUGCCAGCCGCCGCUGAGA